CUCCUACGGGAGGCAGCAGUGAGGAAUAUUGGUCAAUGGGCGAGAGCCUGAACCAGCCAAGUAGCGUGAAGGAUGACUGCCCUAUGGGUUGUAAACUUCUUUUAUAAAGGAAUAAAGUCGGGUAUGCAUACCCGUUUGCAUGUACUUUAUGAAUAAGGAUCGGCUAACUCCGUGCCAGCAGCCGCGGUAAUACGGAGGAUCCGAGCGUUAUCCGGAUUUAUUGGGUUUAAAGGGAGCGUAGAUGGAUGUUUAAGUCAGUUGUGAAAGUUUGCGGCUCAACCGUAAAAUUGCAGUUGAUACUGGAUAUCUUGAGUGCAGUUGAGGCAGGCGGAAUUCGUGGUGUAGCGGUGAAAUGCUUAGAUAUCACGAAGAACUCCGAUUGCGAAGGCAGCCUGCUAAGCUGCAACUGACAUUGAGGCUCGAAAGUGUGGGUAUCAAACAGGAUUAGAUACCCUGGUAGUCCACACGGUAAACGAUGAAUACUCGCUGUUUGCGAUAUACAGCAAGCGGCCAAGCGAAAGCGUUAAGUAUUCCACCUGGGGAGUACGCCGGCAACGGUGAAACUCAAAGGAAUUGACGGGGGCCCGCACAAGCGGAGGAACAUGUGGUUUAAUUCGAUGAUACGCGAGGAACCUUACCCGGGCUUAAAUUGCAACCGAAUAUGGCGGAAACGCUAUAGCUAGCAAUAGCGGUUGUGAAGGUGCUGCAUGGUUGUCGUCAGCUCGUGCCGUGAGGUGUCGGCUUAAGUGCCAUAACGAGCGCAACCCUUGCCGAUAGUUACUAACAGGUUAUGCUGAGGACUCUGUCGGGACUGCCAUCGUAAGAUGUGAGGAAGGUGGGGAUGACGUCAAAUCAGCACGGCCCUUACGUCCGGGGCUACACACGUGUUACAAUGGGGGGGUACAGAGGGCUGCUACCACGCAAGUGGAUGCCAAUCCCAAAAACCUCUCUCAGUUCGGAUUGAAGUCUGCAACCCGACUUCAUGAAGCUGGAUUCGCUAGUAAUCGCGCAUCAGCCACGGCGCGGUGAAUACGUUCCCGGGCCUUGUACACACCGC
RNAcentral lists this ribosomal RNA (1057 nucleotides) under uncultured bacterium. RNAcentral describes it as "bacterial SSU rRNA". It matches the Rfam family "Bacterial small subunit ribosomal RNA", at positions 336 to 1393 of the family's 1533-position model. The record is from RNAcentral.